GAGUUCUCAACGGGGUGCGAUAAAGUCCGGUGCCGUCAUACCGUCCGCUUUACGCUGAGAAAAUACCCGUCGAACCUGAUCCGGUUAAUACCGGCGAAGGGAUUUGGGAGUGCUUUGCCG
This 120-nucleotide non-coding RNA is filed under the name Lonsdalea quercina. RNAcentral describes it as "TPP sequence". It matches the Rfam family "TPP riboswitch aptamer (THI element)". From Rfam's summary of the family: Vitamin B(1) in its active form thiamin pyrophosphate (TPP) is an essential coenzyme that is synthesised by coupling of pyrimidine and thiazole moieties in bacteria. The previously detected thiamin-regulatory element, thi box was extended, resulting in a new, highly conserved RNA secondary structure, the THI element, which is widely distributed in eubacteria and also occurs in some archaea. The record is from Rfam by way of RNAcentral. Lineage: Bacteria; Pseudomonadati; Pseudomonadota; Gammaproteobacteria; Enterobacterales; Pectobacteriaceae.